This 806-nucleotide ribosomal RNA is filed under the name uncultured cyanobacterium. Its description in RNAcentral is "bacterial SSU rRNA". It matches the Rfam family "Bacterial small subunit ribosomal RNA", at positions 35 to 887 of the family's 1533-position model. Lineage: Bacteria; Bacillati; Cyanobacteriota. The record is from RNAcentral.
GCUGGCGGCGUGCUUAACACAUGCAAGUCGAACGAACCUUCGGGUUAGUGGCGGACGGGUGAGUAACGCGUGAGAAUCUGCCCUCAGGAGGGGGAUAACGGUUGGAAACGACCGCUAAUACCCCAUAUGCCUAUUGGUGAAAUGAAUUUCGCCUGAGGAUGAGCUCGCGUCUGAUUAGCUAGUUGGUGGGGUAAUGGCCUACCAAGGCUUCGAUCAGUAGCUGGUCUGAGAGGAUGAUCAGCCACACUGGGACUGAGACACGGCCCAGACUCCUACGGGAGGCAGCAGUGGGGAAUUUUCCGCAAUGGGCGAAAGCCUGACGGAGCAACGCCGCGUGAGGGACGAAGGCCUCUGGGCUGUAAACCUCUUUUCUCAAGGAAGAAGAUAUGACGGUACUUGAGGAAUAAGCCACGGCUAAUUCCGUGCCAGCAGCCGCGGUAAUACGGGAGUGGCAAGCGUUAUCCGGAAUUAUUGGGCGUAAAGCGUCCGCAGGCGGCCUUUCAAGUCUGCUGUUAAAACGUGGAGCUUAACUCCAUCAUGGCAGUGGAAACUGAUAGGCUUGAGUAUGGUAGGGGCAGAGGGAAUUCCCGGUGUAGCGGUGAAAUGCGUAGAUAUCGGGAAGAACACCAGUGGCGAAGGCGCUCUGCUGGGCCAUUACUGACGCUCAUGGACGAAAGCCAGGGGAGCGAAAGGGAUUAGAUACCCCUGUAGUCCUGGCCGUAAACGAUGAACACUAGGUGUCGGGGGAAUCGACCCCUUCGGUGUCGUAGCUAACGCGUUAAGUGUUCCGCCUGGGGAGUACGCAC